GAUGAACGCUAGCUACAGGGUUAACACAUGCAAGUCGAAGGGAAACGACAUCGAAAGAAUGCGUUUGAUGGGCGGCGACCGGCGCACGGGUGAGUAGCGCGUAUCCAACCUGCCCACCACUUGUGGCUAACCUUGCGAAAAUAAGACUCAUACUCAAGUAUAUCUCCACAAGACAUCCGAACGAGAGUAAAGGUUUAUCGGGGAUGGAUGGGGAUGAGUCUGAUUAGCUUGUUGGCGGGGUAACGGCCCACCAAGGCUACGAUCAGUAGGGGUUCUGAGAGGAAGGUCCCCCACAUUGGAACUGAGACACGGUCCAAACUCCUACGGGAGGCAGCAGUGAGGAAUAUUGGUCAAUGGGCGAGGGUCUGAACCAGCCAAGUAGCGUGCAGGAUGACGGCGCUAUGGGUUGUAAACUGCUUUUAUAAGGGAAUAAAGUGAGCCUCGUGAGGCUUUUUGCAUGUACCUUAUGAAUAAGGACCGGCUAAUUCCGUGCCAGCCGCCGCAGUAA
Molecule: ribosomal RNA, 508 nt
Filed under: uncultured bacterium
Lineage: Bacteria
Description: partial 16S ribosomal RNA
Rfam family: Bacterial small subunit ribosomal RNA
Source: RNAcentral